Non-coding RNA from Marasmius fiardii PR-910, 92 nucleotides. NCBI's taxonomy places the organism in Eukaryota, Fungi, Basidiomycota, Agaricomycetes, Agaricales, Marasmiaceae. The record is from the annotation of a GenBank genome assembly.
GCUCAAGUGGUCUAACGGUUAUGAUGCGACCUUCCCAUGCAGUUCCACUUCACGAUCAGGUCGCGAACGGGGUUCGACUCCCCGCUUGAGCA